GACAGAGGCCACGAGCGUUAGGCGGAAUCACUGGGCUUAAAGCGUGUGUAGGCGGGUCCGUAAGUGUCUUGUGAAAUCCCACGGCUCAACCGUGGAACUGCUGGGCAUACUGCGGACCUUGAGCCGGCCAGGGGUCACCGGAACAAGCGGUGGAGCGGUGAAAUGCGUAGAUAUCGCUUGGAACGCCAACGGUGAAAACAGGUGACUGGGGCCGCGCUGACGCUGAGACACGAAAGCCAGGGGAGCGAACGGG
RNAcentral lists this ribosomal RNA (253 nucleotides) under uncultured bacterium. RNAcentral's name for it is "partial 16S ribosomal RNA". It matches the Rfam family "Bacterial small subunit ribosomal RNA", at positions 524 to 776 of the family's 1533-position model. The record is from RNAcentral.